This 2550-nucleotide long non-coding RNA is filed under the name Nicotiana tabacum (common tobacco). RNAcentral's name for it is "long non-coding RNA (NTAB_LNC001416)". The record is from RNAcentral. Lineage: Eukaryota; Viridiplantae; Streptophyta; Magnoliopsida; Solanales; Solanaceae.
AUAUAUAUAUAUAUAUAUAUAUAUAUAUAUAUAUAUAUAUAUAUAUAUAUAUCUAACUUUAUUUAUAUUUAUUUAUAUUUUCUUCCAUAUAUACAGGUUCGACCUUGAAGUACUAGAUUUUUCCAAACUCGUGAACUUAUUGUUAGAUCUGUCACUGACGUAUGACUGUAAGUGUAAAAAGAGAGGAGGCAAGUGGGAGAUGCUGUUGACAGAAGAUAGAGAGCACAGAUGAUGAUAAGAUGCUAAUUGGAAGCUUUCUGCACCUUAAUCCUUUGUGCUCUCUAGUCUUCUGUCAUCAUCCUCAGCCCUUCCCUACCUUUAAUUUGUUGUUUUAAAUGUAUUUAUAUUGUUUGCAGAUUUCCUCCUUUUUGUUCAAAAUAAUGGGACUUAUAUUAAUUGUUGUUAACUGUAAUUUAAUUGAAUAUGAAAUUAAACCUACAUAAUUCCGAGCAAGAAAGGGUUUUGAAUUGACUUGUUACUUAAUUGGGAUAUCAAAUUCCAAUCAUAGAAUACUGCUCAUCUAAACGCUGUUGAAUUUUGUUUUGAGUAACUCAAAGCUUAACUUGCCUGUUAUUUUAAAAGACAUGAGAUUUUGUGAAAAUUAUAUCAAAUGAUUGUCCAAAUUAGGUCACAUAUCUUUGAAUAGGUACUUUUAGCUAGUAGAAAUUGACAUCCUUAAUUAGGGACAUGUUUAUUGAUUAAAUGACACGUCUAAUCAUGCAAAAAUAUGUCUAUUCAUGAAAGGCAUGUUGGUGAUAGUUUACUACCUACAAAUAUACCUAUUAUUUGCUUGCAAGAAGCUUAAUUUCAUCCUUUGAUUGAUCUUAAACUCUCCUUAAUAUCAAUUAUCUUUAUUCUAAGUUUCUUUAAAAGUAGAUUAGAGAUUAAAGAGUUUCUGAAUUUCUAUUUGAGUGAAAAUUAUAAGAUCAUUAAAUGGUUCAUUCUAUCAUUGCAGUAGGACGUCACAUUAAUAUUUGCCCCUCAUGUAUUGACUAGGUAUUCUUAGUAUUUCCAACCCUAAAUUUCCAGGAAUUGUGCUGUGUUCUAAUGAUUUCUCACUUGAUUUGUUGGUCAUGACAAUUUAGCAAAUCAAAUGUUAAUUUCUUGACAUUAAUUCCUUCUUCAAAUCCAUAUCUUACUCCCGGUGUGUCAUUUUUGGGGUGAUUGACUGAUUGGUGACCUUAUCAAGCAGGAAAAAGAGCAAGACUAUUCUUGUAUUGUGUUUAUGCUUGUGCAGAUGGUAGGGUUUUACAUGAAUUCCUUUUCUUGGUUUUUCUCUUUUUCCCUAAUGAUUGAUCAGUUGUUGAGGCUUCAAUUACUAAUUAAAUAUCAGAGAAGAAAAAUUUGUGGUAUCGAGCCGUAGAAUCAUCCAUUGAUACUUGUAUUAGGGUAGACUGCCUAUAUCACACCCUUUGGGUCCGGCCCUUUCCCAGAUCCUGCGUAAACGCGAGAUACUUCGUGCACUGGACUGCCUUUUUUUUUUAGAAAUUCAUGGUAUGUGCCUGCACCCUCUUAUCGAUGAUAAAUUGUAUGGUUCAAUCAAGCCACAAGCCCAAUUACUAGUACUGUUUUUUUCUUGUGGAUGUAUAUGAGCUGUUGAUCAUUGGAAACAUCCUGUUUAUCAUAUGAAAAUAAUUAAUGGCGCAAUAGUUCCUCAAACAAUAGAAAAUUUGUACUGGUCAAGUCUUUUGCUCUCUCAAUCACUUUAUUUCUAACAAUUUGUAGCUUUAAGGUUAACUAAUUAUCUAUCCGGAAGGAGUAAAAGUUUGCAAGUAUCCUCACUUUUCUCAUGAUGUUGCAGCUGAAUAAAUUCCAAAACAGCAAUAUCAACCCUAGUUUUCACGGGACACAGAAAGAUAUUAAAGGUUUUUCCACAUCCUUUGACUUUGCUGUUGGUGAAGAUGCAUAAAAACCAAUUGCAAGUUUGGUUCUACAAUAGAUUUGUCUAACAGCAAUUUCCAGCGGACGCCAUUAUUUUUUUUCUUUCAAUGAAUAGGAAGAAGGAGAGCCGCGAGAGCAAUGGUAAAGUUGACUCCGUGUGGGUUCAAACCAUGGGAAGAUAGCUGAAUUGAAAGAGGCAGAUUCAAGAUGGACAGGACAAUUGAAGACAGCAUUCUUAUUUCAGUGUUUCACAAUUACAAACAGCUGACAUGUUUGAGUGCGUUUUUUUGGGGGGCAAUACCGAAGUUAAUUGAAGAAGAGGGAACACCGUUCGAAUUAGCAAAAUUCAAACCAAUGUGAUAUGAGUUAUGAGCCAGUGGACACUGAGCUCUUUCCAUAUAUGUCUCCAUAAUAUUCGACUUAUAUAGAUUUCAAUUAGAUAAUGUAUUUCUGCAUUUUCUACUUUUGAAUAAUAUUAUAUGAGAAUAAUAAAAGGAUAUUUAUACCAUCAGUAUUCGACUCAUGUAGAUUUCAAGUGGUCAUCAAAUUCUACUUUCUCUCUAGUAGAACAAAUGAUGAUUACAUUUUGAGUUUAAUGGAGACCCUAGAAGUUGCAAACUUUUCUUGAUAGUUUUGUAUGUUCUUGUUUUUCCAAAAAGAUUCUUAAAC